Molecule: transfer RNA, 18 nt
Filed under: Afronycteris nanus (Banana bat)
Lineage: Eukaryota; Metazoa; Chordata; Mammalia; Chiroptera; Vespertilionidae
Description: partial tRNA-Thr
Source: RNAcentral
AGUCCCUGUAGUAUAUUA